This 77-nucleotide transfer RNA is filed under the name [Eubacterium] siraeum. RNAcentral describes it as "tRNA-His(gtg)". It matches the Rfam family "tRNA". From Rfam's summary of the family: Transfer RNA (tRNA) molecules are approximately 80 nucleotides in length. Their secondary structure includes four short double-helical elements and three loops (D, anti-codon, and T loops). Lineage: Bacteria; Bacillati; Bacillota; Clostridia; Eubacteriales; Oscillospiraceae. RNAcentral also lists the same sequence under 8 other names. The record is from RNAcentral.
GUGGGUGUAGCGUAGCUGGUUAACGCGUCGGAUUGUGGUCCCGAAGAUCGUGGGUUCGAGUCCCAUCUCCCACCCCA